GAUGACUACCAGAGAAGUGGCUGCGUGAGCCCUACUCGGCAAUUUAUCAGUAGGACACGCCACCAGUCAUACAAGGAGAAUGGUCUAAUGCCUCCCAUCAAAAAUAGAGCUGGCCCAAGCAAGCACAGUUUACACCUGAAGCAUGAGGACUUGCAGUGAGUGCUGAACUUCAACAACUACUCAGAGGAUAAUGCAAUAGUAUUACCAGAACACCACUGGUGGAAACUGCUGCCAUCCCACGUGACAAAAACAGCAGUGUGGCGUCUCCGCAAGGAUUCGAUGACAACACUUGGUGCACUAUCCUUCUGACCCUAUGCAGCCAGGUCCCAUCUACUUUCUAUCUCCUCGCAACUGCAGUGCCCAAAACAAGAACAAGUUUGUGCUCUGGUACUGUGCCUGGCGGAUCAUGCACAAGCUCCACCACAGUUUUGACCUUCACUUCCUGAUCACAGGCCACGCAAAGUUUGCCCCUGACUGAUGUGUGGGCAUCAACAAGCAGCGCUUCAGAAAGAACAGAGUGAACACUUUGUCUGAGAUUGGUGUUGUGACUGGUGUUGUGAAGGACAGCACUGUGACAGGGGUCAACAUCCCACAGCUGUUGGACUGGAGGAUGGUACGGUGCUGGUGGAAAGCUAUGGCUGGCAACAACACCUCCAUACUCCAGACUGCUGCCACAGUUCAAGCAGUACCAGCACUUCAG
Molecule: long non-coding RNA, 700 nt
Organism: Oncorhynchus tshawytscha (Chinook salmon)
Lineage: Eukaryota; Metazoa; Chordata; Actinopteri; Salmoniformes; Salmonidae
Source: Ensembl